GGCGAACGCUGGCGGCGUGCUUAACACAUGCAAGUCGAACGGUGAAGCGCCUUCCUUUUUGGUGGGUGUGGAUGAGUGGCGAACGGGUGAGUAACACGUGAGUAACCUGCCCCCUUCUUCUGGAUAACCGCAUGAAAGUGUGGCUAAUACGGGAUAUUCUGGGUCUGUCGCAUGAUGGGUCUGGGAAAGAUAUUGUUUCGGUGGGGGAUGGGCUCGCGGCCUAUCAGCUUGUUGGUGGGGUGAUGGCCUACCAAGGCGGUGACGGGUAGCCGGCCUGAGAGGGUGGACGGUCACACUGGGACUGAGACACGGCCCAGACUCCUACGGGAGGCAGCAGGGGGGAAUAUUGCACAAUGGGCGCAAGCCUGAUGCAGCGACGCCGCGUGAGGGAUGGAGGCCUUCGGGUUGUGAACCUCUUUCGCCAGUGAAGCAGGCCUGCCUCGUUUGUGGGUGGGUUGACGGUAGCUGGAUAAGAAGCGCCGGCUAACUACGUG
Molecule: ribosomal RNA, 494 nt
Filed under: uncultured bacterium
Lineage: Bacteria
Description: partial 16S ribosomal RNA
Rfam family: Bacterial small subunit ribosomal RNA
Source: RNAcentral